UACGUAGGGGGCAAGCGUUAUCCGGAUUUACUGGGUGUAAAGGGAGCGUAGACGGUUACGCAAGUCUGGAGUGAAAGGCGGGGGCCCAACCCCCGGACUGCUUUGGAAACUGUAUAACUGGAGUGCAGGAGAGGUAAGUGGAAUUCCUAGUGUAGCGGUGAAAUGCGUAGAUAUCGCGCAGAACUCCGAUUGCGAAGGCAGCAUGCCGGCUCCACACUGACGCUGAGGCACGAAAGCGUGGGUAUCGAACAGG
RNAcentral lists this ribosomal RNA (253 nucleotides) under uncultured Eubacteriales bacterium. Its description in RNAcentral is "uncultured Clostridiales bacterium partial 16S ribosomal RNA". It matches the Rfam family "Bacterial small subunit ribosomal RNA", at positions 524 to 776 of the family's 1533-position model. The record is from RNAcentral. Lineage: Bacteria; Bacillati; Bacillota; Clostridia; Eubacteriales.